UGGGUUUUCUCUUCAUUUUUGGCAUCAUCUUGAGUCUCAUUUCUUUUGGACACUUGACCAUGGCCACGACCAUAUCCUCUAUUGAUGGGCAAAUUCGUAAAUGCAUGAAAUCGUUCAAGUAAUAAAAUAACAAGUAGAGUAUCGUCCCAUAGAUUGCAUAUCAAGUACCAAAAUUGAAGAAAAUUAUACUAUUAUCUAGAAAUCAAAAUUA
RNAcentral lists this long non-coding RNA (211 nucleotides) under Carica papaya (papaya). RNAcentral's name for it is "long non-coding RNA (CPAP_LNC010213)". Lineage: Eukaryota; Viridiplantae; Streptophyta; Magnoliopsida; Brassicales; Caricaceae. The record is from RNAcentral.